Molecule: ribosomal RNA, 326 nt
Filed under: uncultured Pseudomonas sp.
Lineage: Bacteria; Pseudomonadati; Pseudomonadota; Gammaproteobacteria; Pseudomonadales; Pseudomonadaceae
Description: bacterial SSU rRNA
Rfam family: Bacterial small subunit ribosomal RNA
Source: RNAcentral
GACUCGUGUCGUGAGAUGUUGGGUUAAGUCCCGUAACGAGCGCAACCCUUGUCCUUAGUUACCAGCACGUUAUGGUGGGCACUCUAAGGAGACUGCCGGUGACAAACCGGAGGAAGGUGGGGAUGACGUCAAGUCAUCAUGGCCCUUACGGCCUGGGCUACACACGUGCUACAAUGGUCGGUACAAAGGGUUGCCAAGCCGCGAGGUGGAGCUAAUCCCAUAAAACCGAUCGUAGUCCGGAUCGCAGUCUGCAACUCGACUGCGUGAAGUCGGAAUCGCUAGUAAUCGUGAAUCAGAAUGUCACGGUGAAUACGUUCCCGGGCCUU